CUUCAUCGCGUGACUAAUAAAGUUUACUGCGGAAGGAUUCCUGUGGUCGCGUGCGUUUCCGCCGGCGAAACAUUCACGCGGCGGCUCCCAACAUCUGGUGCUGAAACCCCGGAACAUUGCUGGGAAGAAAACAAUCCAUUCUGGGUACCGGAGCGCCUCACGCGAAAGCUCGUGACAGCUGAAGAUGAUCUUCCAACAGACACACCUGCUACUGCUGAAAGAAUCAAGGACAGCGAGGAGGACCACUAAUUCUACUCGAGUGGAUUCAUUGCCCACAGACUGGCUUUACCCUGGGUUUCUUCUGCCUUUUCUUACUUCAGAUUGGGUGGGGGUCGGAAUGUUUGGUGUAGCAUUGUGUCGUGGCUUAGUGUUUUUUACUCUGGUUGUUCUGCAAACUCUAUACCCAAAACAAACGUGACUAGGUCGCAAUCGCGCAAGCACUAGCACCCUUGGAACAAGGAUCGUCUCCCAAAAAUUUGGUUAUCCAUGUUAAAAAAUUAAAACAGACUGUGACACUCAGUCGAUGCACCUCAGGGGUUUCA
Long non-coding RNA from Meriones unguiculatus (Mongolian gerbil), 542 nucleotides. RefSeq lists it as uncharacterized. The transcript is spliced from 2 exons. Lineage: Eukaryota; Metazoa; Chordata; Mammalia; Rodentia; Muridae. The record is from RefSeq and is a predicted model, not a curated record.